This 2089-nucleotide long non-coding RNA is filed under the name Patiria miniata (bat star). Its description in RNAcentral is "uncharacterized LOC119719403". Lineage: Eukaryota; Metazoa; Echinodermata; Asteroidea; Valvatida; Asterinidae. The record is from RNAcentral.
CGAUUGCGACAUACGCGGAGGAUUUUUUUUAGCGUUGCGCGGUACGUUUUUGAACGUCCACAAUGCACAAAAAGUUAUCUUUUUCAAAACAAAUUAUCAAAAAACCGCAGGACGAAAUGUGGAAAACUUCUACAAUAUCAUUCUUUGGUAGUGUAUUUCGGUAGAACUGUUAAGAAAAUCUAGACCCGCGAUUGCUGGAGCGAAACGAACGAAUUUUAACAUCCAGCUGACGGCCUAUCAGUACAACGCCAAUUUUGACACGAAACUUAUCGGCGAAAACUAGGACGAAUUAGAAUGCUGCAUAGUAACGAUGCACAUAAUAUGAAAUUCAGUGAGCGUUGAUCUUUCCAUCAAAGUGUUAGGAUGUGUGUGCUAAAUGCUAACUUCAUUAAUUGGGAAAACCUACAAUAAGAAGCUCAUAGAAACAUCAGAGGUAGACCCAAAUAGAAAUUGCGAUGUAAUGAAAACCAAUAAUCCUACAGUAGCCCACCAAAUGUUUCGGCACAAAUGAACUAUUGGAUUGCAGACAUUACAGAAGCUACUUUAAUAGCAAAAUGAAUGAUCCCAUGCAAAACAAAAUGAAGUAUUCAGGCGCGGAUCCAGAGGGGGAGGGUGUUGUGGGUCAAUCACCCCUGCUAUAACACUAAACAAUAUUAUGACAAUGAUACCAAUAAUUUUAAUAAUAUUGACCUCUUUGUUUGUCUGUCGGUAACACUCUGACACAGAGGUGUAGCCAGCGGGGUCAGGGGAUAUUUGUAGUCUUGUGCGAUGUAGUUUGCAUUAGAGUCGGAUUUGAACAGCGCCCCCAUAGAAUGGUACCAGCCCCCCCCCCCCUUUUAUCUUAAGGAGACCAAGUGUCCCUAGAAAAAAAUCUGUCUACAUUUCAGCACUGUUUUCCUGAUUCCAAAAAACCUGACGGGCCUGAACCUCCCCCGCAAAAAAACCUCCUGGAUCCGCCGUGGUACAGCGAUAAGUAGUAAGAGUCCUGACAAAUUCAAUUUGGGCCAUCAAAUAUCAAACCCACAGUAAAAAUUCUCAUUGUUAUCCUCUGUCUUGAAAACUGUAUUUUCAUUGGCCUAGAGCGAUCACGUUUUAAGUUUAAAAAAAAGUCUGUCACACAUAUCACGUACGGGGAAACGCGUGUAUAUUGGUUCCCACGCUAUUUUCACGCAUGAGUGGGGGCAGCGACAGACGAUCAGCUGUUUCGAGCAGAAACAGCUACAGAUGAUCAGCUGUUGCCAGGGUGCGACAUGUUUUGAGAUAAUCUUCCCUUGUUGUGUUUAUACCGCAGUUUGUUUUCGUGAUUUUCAAUCGAAAUCCAAUUUAACUUAAAAUUAAAUUUCGUUGUCGCAUGGAGCUAAUAAAAAUCAAAAGGGACUUCGGUGUGUACGUCUACUUCAAAGCCUGAUCCAGAGCAAGUAGCGACUGAUGGUAUCAUGGUACAGCAGCCAGACGACCCACUCUGCCAAGUCGCAUACCCUUGGAGAGGCAGCAUGAACGGCUCCAGUUCGAAUGUUAGCUGCACUGAUUCCUUGUAAGCUGUCAAACGUCUACACCAACCACUCAACACGUGCGUCUACUCUUCAGUCACGACUUUGCAUAAUGCGGUAUUCAGGGACCGGCACAUCAUGAACAUUAGUAGGUACAAGAGUGAGCAGAGCAUGAAAUUAUACUCCAGUUGCAUCCGUGACUUAUAGAGAUGUGAAAUGUCACACGCUUUGAGAAAGGCUAGGUUCAAAAACCCAUCGACAGAAUCCAGAGCAGCAGCCACAGACCCCAUGCCACAGAGAAAUCUUCCAUCUACCUCCAGCAUGCAUGAAGACAAGAUCCACUGCCAGUUCAGACUUCAGCAGAGACUUCAACUUCAUCGCUAGUUAUGUUAACAGACUCUGACAAGAAACACUACUUGCUGAUGAAGAUGACAACGAACGUUCCUCUGUUGGACAGUCCACCCCAAGUCAGUCAACUAGUCAGUUCACAUCAUUUAAAAGACCAAAGUAGAUCAGCAAAGCCAGUAUAGCUGAAGAUUUAUUACCCCCCCCCCCCAAAAAAAAGUCUCCGGUUUCUGGUAUGCGCGCGCGUUGCCGUA